Molecule: ribosomal RNA, 377 nt
Filed under: uncultured Enterococcus sp.
Lineage: Bacteria; Bacillati; Bacillota; Bacilli; Lactobacillales; Enterococcaceae
Description: bacterial SSU rRNA
Rfam family: Bacterial small subunit ribosomal RNA
Source: RNAcentral
AUACGUAGGUGGCAAGCGUUGUCCGGAUUUAUUGGGCGUAAAGCGAGCGCAGGCGGUUUCUUAAGUCUGAUGUGAAAGCCCCCGGCUCAACCGGGGAGGGUCAUUGGAAACUGGGAGACUUGAGUGCAGAAGAGGAGAGUGGAAUUCCAUGUGUAGCGGUGAAAUGCGUAGAUAUAUGGAGGAACACCAGUGGCGAAGGCGACUCUCUGGUCUGUAACUGACGCUGAGGCUCGAAAGCGUGGGGAGCAAACAGGAUUAGAUACCCUGGUAGUCCACGCCGUAAACGAUGAGUGCUAAGUGUUGGAGGGUUUCCGCCCUUCAGUGCUGCAGCAAACGCAUUAAGCACUCCGCCUGGGGAGUACGACCGCAAGGUUGAA